GAUGAAGAACGCAGCGAAAUGCGAUAAGUAGUGUGAAUUGCAGAAUUCAGUGAAUCAUCGAAUCUUUGAACGCACAUUGCGCCCUUUGGUAUUCCUUAGGGCAUGCCUGUUCGAGCGUCAUUUAAACCUUCAAGCCCUGCUUGGUGUUGGGUGCCUGUCCCGCCCCCGCGCGUGGACUCACCUCAAAUCCAUUGGCGGCCCCCGCAAGGCCACGAGCGCAGCAGAAACGCAAACUCGUGUGCCCGGCGGGCGGCUCCCAGAAGCUACACCCACCAUUUUGACCUCGGAUCAGGUAGGGAUACCCGCUGAACUUAAGCAUAUCAAUAAGGGAGGA
This 334-nucleotide unclassified non-coding RNA is filed under the name soil metagenome. RNAcentral describes it as "partial contains 5.8S ribosomal RNA, internal transcribed spacer 2, and large subunit ribosomal RNA". The stretch from base 1 to 120 matches the Rfam family "5.8S ribosomal RNA", at positions 35 to 154 of the family's 154-position model. The record is from RNAcentral.